Molecule: unclassified non-coding RNA, 233 nt
Filed under: Hevea brasiliensis (rubber tree)
Lineage: Eukaryota; Viridiplantae; Streptophyta; Magnoliopsida; Malpighiales; Euphorbiaceae
Source: RNAcentral
GUAUUUUUGACCCUUUUCCGAAAAAAGAAUUACAUUCAAUUACUCAACUUUUCACCUCCCACUUCAGGAAUUUAAAGGAAUUUCCUAGAUUAAACACGAAGCAUCACUAAUUUAAUAUAUGGAAAAGGAAAUAUUUGUCAAUUGCCCUUAUACUCUUAGAAAAUGGUUAUAUAUAUACCCUUAGUUAUACUCUUUUGAUAUAUUUGCCCUUAUCAUCCAACUUUGAGAGCAUA